AGCUCCAAUAGCGUAUAUUAAAGUUGUUGCAGUUAAAAAGCUCGUAGUUGGAUUUGUGGUUCGUCUUGCCGGCUGGGUCUUUUGACCUGUGCUGUGCGUGUCGUCCAUCCUUGGGUGGAACCUGUGUGGCAUUAGGUUGUCGCGCAGGGGAUGCCCAUCGUUUACUGUGAAAAAAUUAGAGUGUUCAAAGCAGGCUUAUGCCGUUGAAUAUAUUAGCAUGGAAUAAUGAUAUAGGACCUUGGUACUAUUUUGUUGGUUUGCGCACUGAGGUAAUGAUUAACAGGGACAGUUGGGGGUAUUCGUAUUCCAUUGUAAGAGGUGAAAUUCUUGGAUUUUUGGAAGACGAACUACUGCGAAAGCAUUUACCAAGGAUGUUUUCAUUAAUCAAGAACGAAAGUAC
RNAcentral lists this ribosomal RNA (400 nucleotides) under phytoplankton environmental sample. RNAcentral's name for it is "partial small subunit ribosomal RNA". It matches the Rfam family "Eukaryotic small subunit ribosomal RNA", at positions 587 to 992 of the family's 1831-position model. The record is from RNAcentral.